GGGCCCAUACUCCAACCGGUAGAGAGAAGGGACUUAAACUCCCUACAGUGUCGGUUCGAAUCCGACUGGGCCUA
RNAcentral lists this transfer RNA (74 nucleotides) under Histidinibacterium lentulum. It matches the Rfam family "tRNA". From Rfam's summary of the family: Transfer RNA (tRNA) molecules are approximately 80 nucleotides in length. Their secondary structure includes four short double-helical elements and three loops (D, anti-codon, and T loops). Further hydrogen bonds mediate the characteristic L-shaped molecular structure. tRNAs have two regions of fundamental functional importance: the anti-codon, which is responsible for specific mRNA codon recognition, and the 3' end, to which the tRNAs corresponding amino acid is attached (by aminoacyl-tRNA synthetases). tRNAs cope with the degeneracy of the genetic code in two manners: having more than one tRNA (with a specific anti-codon) for a particular amino acid; and 'wobble' base-pairing, i.e. permitting non-standard base-pairing at the 3rd anti-codon position. Lineage: Bacteria; Pseudomonadati; Pseudomonadota; Alphaproteobacteria; Rhodobacterales; Paracoccaceae. The record is from Rfam by way of RNAcentral.